CCCGUGGAAGCUCAUCUGGAUGCAGCAGGCGACUCUUAAUCGCAAGGCAGCGGGUUCGACCCCCGCCCGCGGGA
RNAcentral lists this transfer RNA (74 nucleotides) under Kouleothrix aurantiaca. It matches the Rfam family "tRNA". Rfam says of the family: Transfer RNA (tRNA) molecules are approximately 80 nucleotides in length. Their secondary structure includes four short double-helical elements and three loops (D, anti-codon, and T loops). Lineage: Bacteria; Bacillati; Chloroflexota; Chloroflexia; Chloroflexales; Roseiflexaceae. The record is from Rfam by way of RNAcentral.